AGACCUCACCGUAAGAUGCCACUCACUGUGCUUCAUGUUUGGUCUCUCCACGCUGAACCGAGUUCCACAGGGAGAUCUGCUUGAUCAAAUACCUGAGACACAUUUAGAGAUUCAGAUACUUUGUUUCUUCAACCAGCACACUGAAGAUUAGUGCUUACAUACCUUACCACACUGACAUCCGAAAACCCUUAGCUUCCAGAGAAGUAAUACCUUGCAACCGCAAAUCAGCUCUGCAUGAACGACCAUAAUGGGAUAUUAGCAUUCUUCGUGCAACAAGGCAGUAUUCCUUUGAGAACAUUAACAUUUAACCUUGUGAGUUCACUUCUACAGAAACAAUAAACUUUAUUCAUCAGC
Long non-coding RNA from Neofelis nebulosa (Clouded leopard), 354 nucleotides. RefSeq lists it as uncharacterized. Lineage: Eukaryota; Metazoa; Chordata; Mammalia; Carnivora; Felidae. The record is from RefSeq and is a predicted model, not a curated record. The transcript is spliced from 2 exons.